GCAAGUCGAGCGGAGACAGUGAGUAGCUUGCUAUGAGCUGUUUUAGCGGCGGACGGGUGAGUAACGCGUGAGCAACCUUUCCCAGACAGGGGAAUAACACACCGAGAGGUGUACUAAUACCGCAUAAGACCACGGAAUCACAUGGUUCUGAGGUAAAAGAUUUAUCGGUUUGGGGUGGGCUCGCGUCCGAUUAGGUAGUUGGUGAGGUAACGGCCCACCAAGCCGACGAUCGGUAGCCGACCUGAGAGGGUGAUCGGCCACAUUGGGACUGAGACACGGCCCAAACUCCUACGGGAGGCAGCAGUGGGGAAUAUUGGGCAAUGGAGGAAACUCUGACCCAGCAACGCCGCGUGGAGGAAGAAGGUUUUCGGAUCGUAAACUCCUGUCCUUGGAGACGAGUAGAAGACGGUAUCCAAGGAGGAAGCCCCGGCUAACUACGUGCCAGCAGCCGCGGUAAUACGUAGGGGGCAAGCGUUGUCCGGAAUAAUUGGGCGUAAAGGGCGCGUAGGCGGCUCGGUAAGUCUGGAGUGAAAGUCCUGCUUUUAAGGUGGGAAUUGCUUUGGAUACUGUCGGGCUUGAGUGCAGGAGAGGUUAG
Molecule: ribosomal RNA, 595 nt
Filed under: uncultured bacterium
Lineage: Bacteria
Description: bacterial SSU rRNA
Rfam family: Bacterial small subunit ribosomal RNA
Source: RNAcentral